Micropterus salmoides (largemouth bass) is the source of this 960-nucleotide long non-coding RNA. RefSeq lists it as uncharacterized. The record is from RefSeq and is a predicted model, not a curated record. NCBI's taxonomy places the organism in Eukaryota, Metazoa, Chordata, Actinopteri, Centrarchiformes, Centrarchidae. The transcript is spliced from 3 exons.
AGGAGUUGCAAGAAGUUUCGGAAAGGCCCAUCAUAGCUUCGCUGUUUUCCAUAACAACCGGGGACGCUUUCUCCUGAUUGGCUGCUGCUACAUCCUGUGUUUUCAGGCCUCGCUAGCAGAUGCUAUUUUAAACCACACUCCCUUCACGAGCUGGGGAUUAACAAGUACAUCUUAGAAAAGGCGUAAAUCAGUACUAUCAUACUUGUCUAUCGGCGGCCGUUCGAGUGAAGGAAUCUGAUAAACAUGAGUUAGUAACUUAGACACGGAAAAGAAAGCUGAGCUGCACCGACUGUUGACAACGGUUCUUCUGCGGAAUUACUGACACCAACGUUAACUUAAUGUGAAGCUUCCAGCUCCUCAUUAAUGAAUAAAGACAAGUCAGCGGUGAAAACAGCUCUUCUGUUGUGUCGCCAGAAUGCACAAGGGGUGGUUUGCUGGACGCCAUGUCUGCCGUUGACUUUGCUGUAUCGUCUGGGAUGGAUCACAACAACCCAGAGAUGAUGAAAGAUACAUCACCUGGCCUGACAGCAGAUUUGGAUAAUUCUGAGUCCUUCUGUCCAGAAAAGGAGCAGGUUAGUUGUUUUUUUCUGUCCAAAAUUUAUAUUGUUUGAUUUGACCGGUGGCUCCUCUGGUCUGCAUGUCAAAGUGCCCUUGGGCAAGAUACUGAGCCCAAAUUGCUCCUGGUGUGCGCGUGAGUAUAUGUGAAUGAUUAGUUUCUUUCUAAGGGCAAAUGGUACUUUGCAUGGCAGCUUCACUGUAUGAGUAUGUGAGAAUGUGACAUGUUGGGUCCUAUCUUGCACCCGGAGCAAAGCAGCGCAAGUGACAUUGUGAGUUUCCAACCGAUGCAGUUGUCAUUUUCUCGCCCAUGUUGUUUAAAUACUUGCGUCCAUCUGUGCGCCCAUGGGAGUGUUGGUCUUAAAAAGUGUGGUCAGGUAAAUUUUUGUCACAUUGCUAUCUUGA